GGGGGUGUAGUUCAGUGGUAGAGCGUGUGCUUAGCAUGCAUGAGGCCCCUGGGUUCAAUCCCCAGCACCUCCA
Molecule: non-coding RNA, 73 nt
Organism: Erinaceus europaeus (western European hedgehog)
Lineage: Eukaryota; Metazoa; Chordata; Mammalia; Eulipotyphla; Erinaceidae
Source: Rfam